RNAcentral lists this ribosomal RNA (88 nucleotides) under Valeriana officinalis var. latifolia. Lineage: Eukaryota; Viridiplantae; Streptophyta; Magnoliopsida; Dipsacales; Caprifoliaceae. The record is from RNAcentral.
GAUCCCAUCAGAACUCCGAAGUUAAGCGUGCUUGGGCAAGAGUAGUACUAGGAUGGGUGACCCCCUGGGAAGUCCUCAUGUUGCACCC